RNAcentral lists this non-coding RNA (29 nucleotides) under Rattus norvegicus (Norway rat). Lineage: Eukaryota; Metazoa; Chordata; Mammalia; Rodentia; Muridae. The record is from RNAcentral.
UACCUUUGUCAUGGUGUGUUUUCAGAGUA